Molecule: long non-coding RNA, 8387 nt
Filed under: Solanum tuberosum (potato)
Lineage: Eukaryota; Viridiplantae; Streptophyta; Magnoliopsida; Solanales; Solanaceae
Description: long non-coding RNA (STUB_LNC010272)
Source: RNAcentral
ACGACGAACAGCAGCGUAGAAUGGGCACUAACAGAGCUUUUGCGCCAUCCACAAGCAAUGGCAGAAGUGAAAACAGAGAUAUCAAAAGUAGUAGGACCAAACAACACGUUUGAAGAAAGUGACAUCGAAAAUCUUCCUUAUAUGCAAGCUGUAAUCAAAGAAUCACUUCGUUUACACCCUCCUCUCCCUUUCUUGAUCCCAAGAGAGACAAUUCAAGAUACCAAGUUCAUGGGGUAUGACGUUCCAAAAGGCACUCAAGUCUUGGUUAACGCCUGGGCGCUUGGAAGAGAUCCUCAAUGUUGGGACGACCCUAUGAGUUUCAAGCCCGAGAGGUUUGUUGGCUCAAAAAUAGACGUGAAGGGUCAGCAUUAUGGGCUAAUUCCAUUUGGUGCUGGACGAAGAAUGUGUGUUGGUUUGCCUUUAGGCCAUCGAAUGAUGCAAUUUGCUCUGGGAUCAUUGCUUCACCAAUUCGAUUGGGAGCUUCCCGAUGGUGUCACUCCUAAAUCUAUCAAUAUGGAUGAAAGCAUGGGAGUAACAGCCAGAAAACGCGACUCUUUGAAAGUGAUACCAAUAAAGGCUUGACAACUCAUUAAUCUAAUCGAGCCAACAAGUAUUCGUCUUUAUAGUUAUAUAUUUUUGCAUAUUUUCCUUAUAAUAAGUAUUUGUAGUGCCAACUGGAGUUUCUGUUAGUACUAAAAUUAUAGUAUGUACAUCUUUGUCAAACAAGAUUGUAAGUUGGUAAAAACUAAGAUAAGUGAUUUCAUUUCAAAUGUACUGCACUACGAAACAACGCCAGAUAGGACUAACAAUCUAAUAUAGCCACAUGUCAAAGAAGGUGAGAUAAUGAGUCUUAGUUGCAAAGAGCAAAUACAAACCAGCCUCACUAUUACAUUGGGGGCUUCUUGGUUAUUUAUUCUCAAGAACAACAAUGUUCCUUUAGCAGAUAUGGUUAUGUCUGCAGUUUAUAUCGAUGUUUACUUGGAGCAUUUGGAUAUGUAUGUUUGCGUAAACUAUGAUAACGUGCAAUGAGGGUCAUUUGUGAUAUUUUGAGGCACAUGGAUAUGUUUAUUUCAACUGUUCUUCAAAUAGCUGCAGUUUUUUUAAAUUGAUUUUGAUGCUUCUUGUAUAUGAUUCCUUAAUGGAUUCUGAAUAUGAACUUGUGUUAUACAGUUUUUGAAGUCGUUAUACCAUCUUGUUUUGGUCUCGAUAACAACUCAUGUCUAUGAUUUCGUAUGCUUCCAUCCUUAUAUAUUGAGAAAGAAGAGCAAGACACUUAUUUUCCUGGUACAACUAAGAUGAAAAUUUCUCUUCCUUUCAACAUUCAAUGGCUUACUCUACAGCUUUUAUGUAUAUAUGUUCAUCGUUUAUACAUCCUCUGGCCAUGUUAUUGUGCACAUUAGAAUGAGGAAUUCAUUAGAUAUAAUAUUUGUAUCAUGUGGUUCAUUGUUAUCAUCAAAAGGUGCCAUUUUGUUGCUGCUUAUUUUCCAACAACAUAUCCAAUGUAAUCCCAUAAGUAGAGUCUGGAGAGGGUCGUGUAUACAAAACCUUAUCCCUACAUUGUGAAGAUAGAGAGACGGUUUCAAAUAGACCCUCAGGUCAAGUAAUUGUUCUUAUUAUGCAACACUAUUGCUGACUUCAUAGUUAAUCUUGUAUUAAAAAAAGAGAAUCAAAUAUACUCUCCAUUGAUUUUUCUUGUUUUCUAUUUCCAAACAGAGUGAUAAAGAGGGCUAAUGUCAUGCUGAGUGAUUUUCCCCACAUGGCCAACUGAGGCGAAGCUAGCAAAAGCUGUAGUAUAAGUAAUGGACUGGGCUAUCAAAGAAACAUACUUAUCUGGACGGGGUGAUCAAUAAGACCUAUGGCCUAGGCUGGUGACUUCCAUUGCACUUUGGAAGGGUGGAAGCCUAAGGUCGGCCCAAGUGGGCGUUGGUCCCAUUCAGGUGUUUGUUUGGAAUGAAUUUUCUUUGCAAAUAGAAGUUUGAAUAGACUAUUGAGUCUAGGGAUGUUAAAUGAGUUUGGUUGAAUUUCGAAUCUUACCAAUAUUAAUCUUAAAGAUUUUGGUCACAUCCAAGAGUUUUUGUUAGGUAUGAAUUUUUGUGCAAAUAGAAUUCUGAACAGACUAUUGAGUCGACAGUUGUUAAAAGGGUUGGGUUGAAUUUGAGUAGGAUUGUUAAAUGAAAUGGGUUGAAUUUCGAACCCAAGUUCAACCCCUACCAAUAUUAACCUUAAAGAUUUUGGUCCCAUAUGGUUGUUAGGUAUGAAUUUCUAUGCAAAUAGAAUUCUGAAUAGACUAGUGAGUCUUAGGGACGUUAAAUGGGUUGGGUUGAAUUUGAGUAUGAUUAGAAGUGUCAAAUGAACGUGAAUAUCAACUAGAGGUGUUAACAGGUGGGUCGGAUUGAAUUAGAGCAUAGUUGAGAAUUGAGAUAAUAAAUGGGCCAUAAGGUCCCAUAAUAAAUUUCAAGAGUUUGUUGGUAUGAAUUUCACCUAUAAAAUAGAAUAUGAUUAGGAGUGUUACAUGGGUGAAUUGGUUUGAAUUUGAGUAUGUCAAAACAAGUUGAGUUAAUAAUUGAUUCACCCAAGUAAUUGAUCUCUCCAAUCAUUAUCAUGGCUAAAAAUUGGGUCAUAACAUAACUCGUUUAAUUCUUACUAUAUUUUAAUUUCUUAAUUUGUUUUCUUAUACUUUGUUCGAGUACCUACUAGAAAAAUCUUCCUUAUAUUAUGACUUAUAACAUAUUAAAUAAAAAAUAUUUUUUUAAAAAAUAUUUAGAUAGUUUCUCGAGUCUAUCUGGGCUGAAUAUUAGCGCAAUUUUAAAAUGAACUAAAUUAAGCUGGGUCAAAAUGGACCGAGUUAAUUAAAUGAAUAGAUCGUAAAUUCACUCAAAUCUAAACAAACUGAAUAUAUCAUGAUUUUAUGGGUUGAUUUUGUCAUGCUCUAUUUUACUUUUGUCAAAUUUUGUUCGCCUGUAAGAUUGUGUUAAGGCUUAAGUUCUCUAUGGCACCUUGAAGUUGUCCGCUUAAUUUACUUAGACACCUCAACUAGAACGUAUACCUAUUGAACACCUCUACCCUCUCGAAUUUGAACCACUUAAACACUUUAUGCAGACGUGACACAAAAAGUGUAAUUCAUACCUUGGUGUGCACGUGAAACCAAUAUUUUUACAUUCUCUCUUUUCCUUUUCAAUUUUUUCUCAUUAUUUGUUUUUUAAAAAUAACAAUCGUUGUCUCUUUGCAGAUGCAGAGCUGCUCCUGUCAUUUUUUUUCACACGACUUGUUGUAACCACUUCUUCACCACAAUCCAAUUUGUUUUUUUACAAAUUUUUUUCUUUUUUAAAAAUAAAAAUAAAAAUUCUUAUCAUUGUACUAUUAAUUUUGCAGAUGUAGAACUACUCCCGUUAUUUUUUUCUGAAAAAAAAAUGGAGAUUACCAUCCACAGUUUUUUGUCAAAAAAAAUGGAGAUUAUUAUCUACGUCUUCUUUGUCGAAAAAAUAGAGACCACCAUCCACAUCUACUUUGCCUGAAAAAAUAGAGAUCAUUAUUCAAAUAUUUUCUCUCUCUUCACCUCUCCCCCACGUCCCUUCUUCCCCAUAAAUCGAAGCACAAAUAGAAAAAAAAAAUCAUAAUCAAAAUAAAUAAAGAAAGAAUAUAUCUUUUAAGAAAACACUAUUAAUUUAAAUGUGAAUAAGAAAGAAGGCAUAUAGAGAAAUAAAAAUGAUAAAAUCCAUACAUAAUAUGGAGAAUUAACAAUGGUGAACAAGAGUGAGCGUGUAUAAUUUCUAUUUAUUUAGUUGAAAGUCUUUUUUUUUUUUAGAUUUGAACUUGUUUAUAUGCAAAAUUCAUUUUUAUAAUGAUUUUAAAUUAAAAUGGCACAUGUCUUCUUUGCCACAUCAUAUACAUGUGUAUUACACACUUCCUCUUUUAACUAAGGGUCAUGAAAAUGUUCAAUACGUAUUUAUUUUUCACCAUUAAAGUGACUAAUAUGCGGAUAACUUUAAGAGGUCAGACUUAAGCCUUUUGUUAAUUUGAGAUUUACUCUUAUUUACUAAUUGAGCAAUUAGUAUAGUAACGACUUAAUGGUUAUCUUAUCUAUCAUUUUGGAUGAUUUGCAUAGAAAAUAUAGACUAUGAAACAUUGUACGUGAUUUGCCAAGAAUACACGAAUAUAAUUUAUUUAAAAGAGUUCUCAUAUUUAACGUAAUUAUCUUGAAUAUAUUUAUAUUCACAUUAUUAACAUGAAAGAGAUAUUGAUUGACCUAGCUAACCAACUUAUUUUCCUCUUGAAAGUCAUCACUGUGUUUUAUUUGCUUUUUUUAUUUUAUUUCACGUGAUAUUAUUUCUUUAUGGGAAAAUUAUGAAUCCAUCCAAAAAGAUUAACGUAUUUCAAUGCAUUUUAUUCUAUCCUUAAUGAGAAGCUUUGAUAGAUAUACAAAUUUUAUUUCUUCUUCUUUUUAAACUUCAUGACAAAUCAAUUCCGUAACUGAAACAAAAGGAGUAUGAUAACUUAAAAAUGGAUUUAAACGUUAGAAAUUUUAGUGUUUAUCUAAUUGUAUCAUAUAAUCAGAGGCGGAGCCAGGAUUUCAGACUUGUGGGUUCUAAAUUUAAAAAAAAAUAACGAUCUUAAAAAUCACAAAACACAAAUUAUGUUAAUGAGAUGUUUGUCAUGUUUGAAAACAUUACCUUAGAUAUUGUUAUUCUAAAAACUUAUUUUAAUAAUAUGAAGAUUUGAGUAAUUUAAUUUAAAGUUCUAAAAUAUUGUUAAUGAAAGAUGAAUAAUUUUUUAAAUAUAAUUCUUGAAUAUUUUCCCCCAAACACCUCCACCCCCAGGGGCAGACCCACAAGAAGUUACAAGCAGAGGCGGAGCCAGGAUUUCAGACUUGUGGGUUCUAAAUUUAAAAAAAAAUAACGAUCUUAAAAAUCACAAAACACAAAUUAUGUUAAUGAGAUGUUUGUCAUGUUUGAAAUCAUUACCUUUUAAUAAUAUGAAGAUUUGAGUAAUUUAAUUUAAAGUUCUAAAAUAUUGUUAAUGAAAGAUGAAUAAUUUUUUAAAUAUAAUUCUUGAAUAUUUUUAUUAUAAUAUAAAAUACUAUUUUAAGUGAGAAAAAAAUAUUUAAUUCACCAUUAAUAUUUUCGCACCUAAAAUAUAUAUUUUACUAGUUUCAUUGUGACCUUGAACUAUUACUACCUUCAAAAGUUAUAAUGUUGAAAAGCAAAUAACAAUUAUUCACUAUAAUCAAUUAUCAAUAUGUGGGAUAACCUUAGAAAAUAUUAAAAAUUGAUUUUUGAAUAGAUAAUUCUACGGUGUAAAAGCAAACAAAUAAAAAAAAUGAAAAAGGAGAAGUGAGAGUACAUAGUACAUAUCGAAGGCAGAGGUCGGAUGAUAGCAAUCAGAUCAACAAUAAAAGUUAGAAUCCUAACUUUUGAAAAUAAAUUUGGGCUAAAAUUUUUGAAUAGAAAUCAAUGAAAUUAUAUUUGGGUUAAAUUUUUUGAAUAUCUGAGUAGAAAUCAAUAGUUAGCUAUUGUUUUAAAGUAUGAUCCAAACACUUUUUUUUAUUAUCAUUAACCGUUUUUCUGUUUUUUUUUUUAUAUAUAUAAAUUAUCAUUUGCCAAUUUUCUACUUUUUAUAAAAACAAAAAUCCAAUGUUUUUAUCUGAAAUUAAUUCCAAAAACUUAGUGCCGUGAGCAGGUUUCGAACCCAUGAUCAUUAACCGUUUUUCUGUUUUUUUUUUUUUAUAUAUGUAUAAAUUAUCAUUUGCCAAUUUUCUAUACCGGUUUUCUAUUGUUUUUAAAAAAAUAUAUAAAUUAUCAUUUGCCAAUUUUCUAUUUUUUAUAAAAACAAAAAUCCAAUGCUUUUAUCUGAAAUUAAUUCCAAAAACUUGGUGCCGUGAGCAGGUUUCAAACCCAUGGCGCGUGUAUUGAAUGAUUUCACUGGGUGCGGGGAGACCACUGGGCCACCCGACUCAUUGUGUUAGAGGAUUCACAGGAAAUUUAUAUGUACGUUUUAUUUGAUAAAAUCUACGGAAAAGUCAGUGGGUUCUCCCGAAACCCCUUCCGCUACAGUAGCUUCACCCCUGCAUAUAAUCGACAAGUGCCAAUUAUUGGGUACCAAUUUACAACAUUUUCUUAUCAUUUUACUUUAUGAAUAGUGAUCGCAAUUAUUCUAAGUACGUCUACUAUCUUGUCAGAUAAAUAGUAUGGUAAAGCAAAGAAACUUGUUUUGUGGACGUAAUUUAUCAUUAACGCCGACAAUAUUAAUAAGCAUUGAAAAUGUUGAGCUAACCUAAGUAUAUUAACUAUACAAGCAAACGAGGGUUGAAGUUUCAAAAAGAAAAAUCAAAGCUCAUACCUAAUUGACACACACAUAACAUGUAGCUGGAGGCCAUAGCUGCCGCGUGGAACCAAAAUUUGAACUUUAUAGGUUCUAAAUUUUAGGAUAACAACCCUCGGGUAUUGGUAAUUGAUUUUUGAAGGGUAAUUAGGACAAAAAUAAUUUAGUUGCGCACUGAAUAAACAGUACCAAGUUAAAUGGUUAUGAGGUAAUGAGAAGCAAUAUAACAUUAUAAAUAAGAGCUUCCGUCACAUAAUUUAUAGCAAACUCACUAAAAAAAGUAUAGGAGAGAUGGAAUGGGAAUGGAGUUAUCUGUGUUUUUCUUCAAUCAUCUUAUUACCAGUUUUGAUCCUAUUUUUUUCUCAGAAAAAGACUACAAAAUGUUCUUACAAAUUACCUCCAGGACCACCUGGAUUACCAUUUUUUGGUAACAUGUUUGAACUAGGAACAGAGCCCUACAAAAGAAUGGCAGCUCUAAAACAGAAAUAUGGCCCUGUAUUGUGGUUAAAACUUGGCACCUCAACCAACAUUAUGGUUGUUCAAACAGCUCCGGCUGCUGCAGAAUUAUUUAAGAACCAUGAUACUUCCUUUGCGGAUCGAUUCAUACCUGAUGUAAAUCAGGCACAUAGUUACUAUCAAGGGUCCUUGGCCAUAGGCCGAUAUGGCUCAUUUUGGCGCUUUCAGAGACGGAUAUGUACUGUGGAAAUGUUUGUACACAAAAGAAUCAGUGAAACAGUGCCAGUAAGGCGAAGAUGUGUGGAUAAUAUGUUAAAAUGGAUAGAGAAAGAAGCGAAUUCAGCUGAAAAAGGAAGUGGGAUUGAGGUAACACGUUUUGUGUUCCUAGCAUCGUUUAAUAUGCUAGGGAAUUUGAUUCUGUCGAAAGACUUGGCUGAUCCAGAAUCCGAGGAAGCCUCGGAUUUCUUCAAUGCCAUGAAGAGAAUCAUGGAGUGGUCAGGUAUUGCUAAUGUUUCUGACAUAUUUCCAUUUCUUAGAAAGUUUGAUUUUCAAAAAUUGAGGAAGAAGAUGGCACGAGACAUGGGGAAGGCCAUUGAGAUCAUGUCUAUGUUUCUCAAGGAACGCGAGGAAGAGCGAAAGAAGGGUGCGGAGAAGGGGAAAGAUUUCUUGGAUGUGUUGCUUGAAUUUGAAGGCACUGGAAAAGAUGAGCCAGCUAAAUUAUCAGAACAUGAGAUCAAAGUAUUAAUAGUGGUAAGGUUUUUUAAAAAAAAUCUCUACACUUAUCUUUUCAACAUCAAUGAUUUUCUUUUCAAUUAGUUGUAUCUGGAGCAGAAAAAUGUGUUCUGCUUAGGGAAUAUUUUAUGCUCCUCAGGCCUCAGUCUUCACUCAACAAUCUUCAUUCCUUGUCUUUUACUACUAUUGCUCACUUUAAUUAUGAGGACUAAUUUGAUUGAAAAGUUAAUGUAAGUUCUUUUGAGAUCUUUACACAAAUAGCCGGCUGGGUUCACUGUUUCACUUUUCCUAUCUGGUAUACAUAUACUAUACACUGAUUAUAUACGGUUCUGCAUCAGGAAAUGUUUUUGGCCGGUUCAGAGACGACGAGCAGCAGCGUAGAAUGGGCACUAACAGAGCUCUUGCGCCAUCCAGAAGCAAUGGACAAAGUGAAAACAGAGAUAUCAAAAGUAAUAGGACCAAACAGCAAGUUUGAAGAAAGUGACAUCGAAAACCUUCCUUAUAUGCAAGCUGUAAUCAAAGAAUCGCUUCGUUUACAUCCUCCUCUGCCUUUCUUGCUCCCAAGAGAGACAAUUCAAGACACAAAGUUCAUGGGGUACGACAUACCAAAAGGAACUCGAGUUCUGGUGAACACCUGGGCUAUUGGAAGAGAUCCUGAAUGUUGGGACGACCCUAUGAGUUUCAAGCCCGAGAGGUUUCUUGGCUCAAAAAUAGACGUGAAGGGUCAGCAUUAUGAGCUAAUUCCAUUUGGUGCAGGACGGAGGAUGUGUGUUGGCUUGCCUUUAGGCCAUCGAAUGAUGCAUUUUGCUCUGGGAUCAUUGCUUCAUGAAUUCGAUUGGGAGCUUCCUAAUGGUGUCUCUCCUAAAUCUAUCAAUAUGGAU